CCUACGGGCGGCAGCAGUGGGGAAUAUUGGGCAAUGGGCGCAAGCCUGACCCAGCAACGCCGCGUGAAGGAAGAAGGCUUUCGGGUUGUAAACUUCUUUUAAGGGGGAAGAGCAGAAGACGGUACCCCUUGAAUAAGCCACGGCUAACUACGUGCCAGCAGCCGCGGUAAUACGUAGGUGGCAAGCGUUGUCCGGAUUUACUGGGUGUAAAGGGCGUGCAGCCGGAGAGACAAGUCAGAUGUGAAAUCCACGGGCUCAACCCGUGAACUGCAUUUGAAACUGUUGAUCUUGAGUACUGGAGAGGCAGACGGAAUUCCUAGUGUAGCGGUGAAAUGCGUAGAUAUUAGGAGGAACACCAGUGGCGAAGGCGGUCUGCUGGACAGCAACUGACGGUGAGGCGCGAAAGCGUGGGGAGCAAACAGGAUUAGAUACCCCUGUAGUC
This 442-nucleotide ribosomal RNA is filed under the name uncultured bacterium. RNAcentral describes it as "partial 16S ribosomal RNA". It matches the Rfam family "Bacterial small subunit ribosomal RNA", at positions 338 to 795 of the family's 1533-position model. The record is from RNAcentral.